Acinonyx jubatus (cheetah) is the source of this 16088-nucleotide long non-coding RNA. RefSeq lists it as uncharacterized. NCBI's taxonomy places the organism in Eukaryota, Metazoa, Chordata, Mammalia, Carnivora, Felidae. The transcript is spliced from 3 exons. The record is from RefSeq and is a predicted model, not a curated record.
UACCUCCGGCUUUGCUGCUGUAGUUGCCCUUGGACUUCCGGGGGUAGCUUGGUCCCUUAAUGCAGGCACGGUUGGGAUUGCCAUGCCAGACAAGAUCUUGCUCCAGAUCUAGUCACAUUCUUCCAGGUCAUCUGUUCUCCUUCCCUCCAACAGCGAAGCUGUGAUUUUUCUCUGGCCUUGCAGGGAAAUGUGAUUCCACAUAAGCACAUUACUGUGUGGAAUAUCUCAUCUUUGUUGUUCUAGUGCAGUCCUUUCAGGUUUCCAGAGCCAGUUAGACUUGUUAUGAGGAGCUAAGUGAUUGGCUGGAUCUGGGGCUCAGUUUCAUAAAUUAUAGCCCCGUGCACUAGAAGCACGAGUCCUAUAGUUGCUGUAGUUCAGAGGCCUGCCAGUUCCUGCUUUAACGCAUAUGUAGUCGUAACUGAGUUCUAACACGGCCUUGGAUGUUUCUGUCCUAAAUAGCUGACAUUGCAUCUUCAAGACUGUGUGAGUAAUCCUGACUCUUUUUUUUUUUUUUUAAACUCAGUAAAUUAAUUACAUGCCCCGAGAGGGAGUGAUUGUAAUUAGAAAAUACUGAAUUAGCAGAUGAUUCAUUUUCAAGGUGCUGUACUAUAUGUAUCAAGUUCAGUGCAAUUAAUCUUAAAGCUUGUAAAACCCGGCACGGUUAUUUGAGAUUUUUGUCACGAGUCACAGUCAAGCUGCAUUUUCAAGGAAGCUGUUCCGUGCAUUUGCUAGCCCUGUUUGUUUUAUGGGGUCAGUAAGUUGAUGGAGGUCCAACAUGAGCAGCUUAAAACGGGCUGCUGGUGUCAAAGCAAUGGCUGAGAGAGCACUGGAGUCCGGCAAGUUUCAGGAUUUCCUACCCCCACUGUCCAGAACUGUAAGGGAGCUGCAAAUGAUAGCAGUCCUUUUGGGACACAGGUACAUGGCAGUUAGAGCAGUUAGAGAAAGGAGAAAUGUACAAUUACGGCAGUGCUACUUUUCUUCACUGUCCUCUGAAGCUGACUUAAGACAUAAUCUGUGAAUAACUAGAACAUUUUUAUAUGUAUAGAAAUGCUCCUCAGUGUUCUGUUUAUGUGGUAGAGAGCUGAAUGAGAAAUCACUAGCUUGUUUUCAAAAGCCUUAAAAGAAGUACAUUAAAUACACACAGACAUAAGCCUAACAGAAUAAAGUAUGCGGAUUGGAAUUUGUGGUUUUAGCGGAUCAGGAUCAAAUUAGUCUACGGAAGCUGCUGUUAGGACUGUAUAGUUGCUGGAGGUGACUUCUGUUACUGACAAGGUUUAAGACAAAGCUCAUUAAAAUGAGAAACUAGAAAACAUCGGCAUUAUAUUACCUUCUUUUUUUUUUUUUAGCAUUAUAUUACCUUCUAUAGCAUACACUGUAGGAUGGAGUUAAUACUGAGUAUAGACUGGUGAGUGUAAGCAGUUUACUUUUUACUUUUAAAUCAUUAUUGAUUUUCCCCCAGCCUUUCAUUAAAACAAAAGGCUUUUGCCUAUGAAGUUAGUACUUAGAAAUAUUUUUUCUUCCUUUCCAAUAAUUUUUAUACUUUUUUGCAAUACAGCACACAACUAGGUAAUUUCUUAUAAUCUGACUUGUUUUCUAGUUUGCUUUUUGCCUAAUUUUUCCCUCUUCAGACUUACAGCUGAAAAUGUAUCUAUUUGUCACAUAUGUAAACCUCCAGCAUAAAUUGUUUGAACAGUUUGGUAAAAUUGUGGGUUCCUGUGGCGAAUAAAAGCUUCUAACGGCUAUAGCAAUUAUUUGCAAAUUACUAUAAAAAUAUUACUUAUAUACUCAAGAGCAGUUUAUUUUUGGUUGUACCUCUAUAAAUGACUGACAUGAUUAGCUGGUAGGGGAGGAAUAUUAAUUGUGUUUUUGCAAAAUUUUAUGUUUAGAUCACACUUGAAAAUGCAAAGUUUUGUUAAAAAUAUUUUCACUUGCUUAAAUGUGACUUCUUAGGUCACACCAGUGGAUGAGGUUCAUAAAAGGAAAGAAAAAUCACCAACAUAGGAUUCUUUUCUGUAUCAACCAAAUGUAUGUAAAAUAGUUUUAAGUAAAAGCAGUUCCAAUAUAUUCUUUGAGAAACACAUUUACAUUAUGAAGACAGGAUAUGCAUUCCUUUAUCAAAACAGAAGAGCGAGUUGAUUUAUUGAGUGUCAGUAGCCACAGACGCUAAUACUAAUUGUUGAUGCGCUUGUUGUUCUACAUUCCUAACUGUGUUAGUGGAAGAAAGUGGUGCACCUAUAAAAGGAAUGUGGUUUCAUCCCUCAGGGUGGUUCGAGUCCCAUCUAGACUAAGACGUGGGUGGGGGUGGAAGCUGAUUUAUCUAACCUGGCUUCUGACUUCCAAGCUGGCACCCCUUUCUUGUGGUAGGGUCCCUUCCACCUUUUCCUGCCUUCAUUCUUUAUACUAACUUGCUUGGGCUCUUACUUAGAUGAAUCAAAUAAAGAUGAUUUAAGCUCAUUAUCAAACUUUUACAAGCUGCCCAUGCAAUUCAGAAGGUACCUAGAGCAGGUGUUUAGGGCUCAGGGAAAUACUGCUGUAUUGGGCUUCUGAGUGCCUCAGUUGGUUAAAUGUCCGACUUCUGUGCAGGUCAUGAUCUCGUUGUCCAUGAGUUCGAGCCCCACAUCCGGCUCUGAGCUGUCAGCACAGAGCCUGGAGCCUGCUUCCAAUUCUGUGUCUCCCUCUCUCUCUGCCCUUCCCCCUGCUUGCAUACUCUCUCUCCAAAUAACAAACAUGAAAAAAUUAAGAUAUUAAAAAUAGAAACAGUGCUGUGUAUACACUACGAUUAUUGACAACUUGCUUUGGUGCUUUGUAGAGGACUUUUAUCUCUUCAGUUCUGCCAGAAAUGCAAGGGACACACCUCCUUCUUGAGAGAGGCAGGAUAUUAAGAAAAGCAAGAGUAGAGGGUUGCCAGGUGGCCACUGGAUAGCAGUGAACAGGGCAUUGUGAAAAAGGAACAGAUCCUUUUACAGAUAAGGAUCUGUAAGACUGCAUGUCUGCCAUAGACAGAUGGAUUUGACAAAAGAUGUAUCCAAAAAGGAAUGCAUUACGUUAUGAUUUGCAAAGUGUUCAUGAAUACGCAUUGGCACUUGGAAAGUAUUAACACUACCUACUAAAGCAAUGACAUAAAUCCAAAUUGGAAAAAAAAUUUUAUUGAUUGAAUUAGAUUUUCCAGCGUUAGCUGAUGAAUUUUGCUUUUGGAAAGACUUGAUCUUCUCUAAGACAUUUUUUUUUCUGGUUGUAUAUAUAGCACUAAUCUUACUGCUUAAUUUUGCUCAAGAAUUUAAUUUUUCCUCGUUGGCAUUUUCAAAAGAGUUGCUGUUCCACCUUGAGUAUGUUUUAAAGGAAGCAGAGCAAAACAAAUGAGGCACCUCCCCCAGCCCACCCCAUUGCACGUGAUACAUCGCAAAGAGUUAAACACCUUAGAUUUGUGUACUACUCUGUGGAAUGCAACACUACCCAUUGGUAGAGGAGGAGAUUUAAUUUAAAAGCAAUUAUUCCAAUGAUAUAAUGUGAGCAGGUGAUGUAAUUUCCCAUUUUAUUGAUCGCUAGCAAGAUUGCGUCCCUCCAAGUUAAAGAGGUAGAAUGGCUUAAUGAAAUAAUCUUGCAGUCAGUGAGCUCAUGCUCAAGUCAUUAAAUUUUUCUAAGCCUCAGUCUCUACGUCUGUAAAAGGGAAAUGAUGACGUAUGUUCUGGUAUUUUACUGUGCUGGUGAGUAUCAGCAGCACAAUGAGAAAGUGUUUCUCAAAGAAUGUUUUAAUUCUUUGUAUAUCGUAAUGUAUCAUACAACUACACGCUGAUAGUAUGGCAGAUGCUCACGACACUAGUUCCUCUAUUUUAAGAGCAUGUUCUCAAUAUUGGAGAAAUACUUAAAAAUUUUUUUUAAAUGUUUUUUUUUUUUUGAGAGUGAGAGCGAGAGUGAGAGCGAGAGAGGAGGGGGAGAGGUAGAGAAUAAGCAGGGCAGGGGCACAGAGAGAGAGAGAGACAGGAUCCAAAGCAGCCUCCAGCUCUCAGCUGUCAGCACAGAGCCCGAUGCAGUGCUUGAACCCAUGAACUGUGAGAUCAUGACCUGAGCCGACAUUGGACGCUUAACUGACUGAGCCACCCAGGUGCCCCCAAGAAGUACUUCUUAAAGCGAAGGAAGUCUUCGUUGUUUAAUACUGAAACGUUACGAAGGCUUUUAGAACCUCAGUCCUUGUCUGUCAGUUACUUGAGUGUUAAAAAUACCAUUUGGUUUACUGUGACAGGUAAACGAGAUAUUGUAUGUGAGAACAUAAUGAGUAAACCUUCUAAGUGUCAUAUGAAUGUCGCUUAAGAUAACUGUUAUUAUCAGCCUAUUAAAGUAUAAAUCAGUUUUUAAGAAAGAAAAUAUCACAUGCAUUUCUUACUGAGUUGUUUGAUUUCUUUUCUAAACUGUGUCUGCUUCCCUCAGGCAGGAUGGGUUUUCUUGUUGUUUAAGCUUGUGUGGUGAUUUUCCUUCCAUUUACAUAUAGAACCACACCAGGACUGAGAUCAGCGUUCCUUCACCGGAUACAUUUAGAAUUGCUAAUGAUGAAGUUUGAGAGGAGGUAGUUUCCUGACAGGAAAAAGUGAGUUAGGAAAUUCAGUCAAAAUUCUUGGACUUUUUAUUCCUGUCUUGACUUGCUUUAUUAAAUUGAAGUAAUGGAAUACUUGUGGAGGUUUUAAACUGUUGCUGCUCCCAGGAAUAAAAUUAAUGGUCUAAAUGACUUUCUGAAUAGUCACUAGUUUCGAAUUCCAAAUUUGUCAGUAGUUCUACUUGGCCAUAUCAUCAUCAUUUUGGGAUAUUGGCCACAGUCAUGUCCUAUGCUUGAGCUGCUUGAGCUUAGUGUUAGGAUGCGUUUAAUUAUUUCCCAGCAGUAAUAUCUGUUCGAUGGAAGCACUUCUGCCUCGACAACCGUUUUUUCUCUUUAGAUGAAAUUGAACAGGAAGCACAAUAAGCACAAUGAAUAUGAAUAGAAUGGAACCUCUCCUGCCUUUAUCCCAUGCACCCUACCUAACAUAAGGUACAUAAGGGGACUUCCUAGAAAUGAAUGAAUUUCAUUUGUAGUAUAGAAUGGAAAACUGUUAGUUGGAGACAUUAAUCUGACUUUCUUGUGCCUUUGGUGAUGGAGUAAGAGCCCUCUUUACUAACUUAAAUAAUGUUGAAAGAUUUUUUUUAACUUCUUUUAUUCCCUCAGCCUUGUUGAGAUACAGGUGACAUACAACACUAUGUAAGUUUCAGCUGUAGAGCAUGUUGAUUUGUUACACUUAAGGGUUGUAAAGUGAUUGCUGUCAUAGCAUUAGCUAACCCUUGCAUCAUGUGACAUAAUUACUAUUACUUUUAUUGUAGUGAGAACACUUAAGAUUUAUUCUCAUGGCAAAUUUCAAGUAUGUAAUACAGUAUUACUAACCAUAAUCACUAUGGUAUAUUUUAGAUCCCUGCAACUUAUUCAUGUUCUAACUGGAAAUUUAUACUCUUGGACCAAUAUCUUCCCUUUUCCCCCACCCCCUGGCCCAUAGCAAACACUAUUCUGCUCUAUUUCCGUGAGUACAGCAUUUGUGGCUUUCACACGUAAGUGGAAACCUACAGUAUUUGUCUUUUCUCUGUUUGCCUUAUGUUGCUUAGCAUAAUGCCAUCAAGUUUCAUUUAUUUUGUCACAAAUGACAAGAUUUCCUUCUUUUUUGUAGAUGAAUAAUAUUCCAGUAUAUGUUUAUAUUUCACAUUCUUAACCCAUUCAUCAAGGACACUUAGGUUGUUUCCAUGUCUUGGCUAUUAUGAAUAAUGAUGCGAUCAACAUGGGAGCACAGAUAAUUCUUCAACAUCCUGUUUGUAUUCUCUUUGGGGAUAUACCCAGAAGUGGAGGUGCAGGAUCAUAUGGUAGCUCUAUUUUUAACUUUUUGGGGGGAAUGUCUAUAAUGCUUUUCAUGGUAGCUGUACCAGUUUAGUAAAAUGGAUCUUGAUGGGUGCAUUCCUCUCAUUCAAGUGGUGUUCUCGGGGCCCUGCUCUUAUUACAUCAUUACCACCAACCAGGUCCUUGUGUGGUGGCAGAGGGGAAGAUGCCCCAAGGAUUGUUCACAUUGUUGUGGCCAGAGGUGGGUCACAUGGCCUCACCUAGAUACAGCAUGCAGUCCUAUUUCUGUCUGCAGAAAACAGAAAGUUGCUUUGGUGACCAGCCAACCAAUUUAUACCUUUUUUUUUUUUUGCUUCUUUCCUUUUUAUUCCAUUUCUGUUUCUUUUCUUUCUGUUCUCUAGUAUGUCUACGUAGAAUCUAGGCCUUGUAACCAUGAACCAAAGGUUAAAUUAAAAAAAUACAAUCUUUAUCAUCUAGAAGAAAUUAGGAAUAUAACUUUACUUUUAAAUUAUUUUUUAAAUUUAUUUUUAUUUUUUUAAUUAACAAUUUAAUGUUUACUUUUGAGAGAGACCGAGUAUGAGCAGGGGAGCGGGAGGAGUACAGAGAGAGAGAGACACAGAAUCUGAAGCAGGCUCCAGGCUCUGAGCCGUCAUGACCUGAGCCAAAGCUGCCUUUGGCUUAACUGACAGAGCCACCCAGGCCCCCCACCCCCUGCCCCCUACUUUUAAAUUCUUAAUCUCCUCUGUUCACAACUUCUCAAGACUACUAAAACAUAAUUUUAUGAAAAUUAUGAUUAUAAAGAUUAUUAUUGAUUUAAUCUUUAUAUCCUAUUGUGAAAUAAGGGGUAAUGGGAUGUUUUUCUUAAUACAUCUAGCCCGUCCUCUUCUGUGUUAGGUAUUUGAAUCUCUCACUUUGUAGUUUCAGAAAAGCCUGUGAAGAAAAUGAGUAACUGGGAACAGAAAAUGAUUGAAACUUAUUCACUCUUUCCAGUUCCUUGAGUAUUUUUUAAGUUGUGCAAUGAGUAUUAACUUAUCAUUGGACAAAAGUGCUCACCUACAUAUAAAGAGUAUGUAGCUUUUGGAGAACAAUUUGUUGCAUGGAGUGAGCAAAUGUUGCAAAUAAUGUAAGUGUGGUUUGUAGAUUGUUUUCUAGAAGCUGAAAGAUUUGUCUCCACUCCGAGGUCCUAGAAAUUAGCAAAAAUGUUAAUGGCACAAAUGAAAAAGACUGCAGAUGCCCAUUUAGUAACCAAAAAUAUUUUUCAGGUCAUUGCUAUUGAAAACAAUCUCUCCAUAAACUUUCAAUUUUCUUUUAAUAAAACAUCAUAAGCCAAUUUUAGUCCUUUACUCUGGAUACAUUAGGGAUGAAUAUUUUUGUUGGGUGAUAAGCCAAUAUUAACCUCAGUCAUUAAAAACAAAAUGCCUUUUUUCCAUAUAAGCCAAAUUUACAAUUGAGCUAUUUAAGAAAUAAAGACAACAAAUAAAUAUCGCUUUUAAUCUUCACAUCCUGAUCUAAGAAAUAGAAGGACUAAAUUAUUUUACAUACUCAUAUUUAUCUGAUGAAACUAGGAGUUCUUAAAAGAAUUUUCCCAUAACACCAUUUACUUGUUUAUUGGUCUGGCUCAUUCCAAAAACAAUCUUCAGUGCAACAUUGAAAAAGAACAAAAUCUCCUCAAUCUAAGGUCUAAAAGCUCUUUUUUUUUUUUUUAAGUUUAUUUAUUUUGAGAGAGAGAAAGUGUGAGCAGGGAAAGGGCAGAGAGAGAAUCCCAAAUAGGCUCUGAACAGUCAGUAUGGAGCCCAAUGUGGGGCUCGAACUCAUGAACCCAGAGAUCAUGACCUCAGCUGAAGUUGGAUGCUGAACCGACUAAGCCACCCAGGUGCCCCUCUUUUUAUUUUGGUGGAACUGAACAAAAAUAAUAGACUCUUACUAGUUUUUACCCCGAGGCAUUGAAAACCAUUGACAUGUCUCAAAUGUUAGAUUCUGAAGAUUGUAUUACAUUUGGUAGAGAUUUUACAUGUAUCUUACCAUGUUCAUGGUCUUUGUAAUAAGGCACCCAAUAUAGUUAUAAGGUAAUGCCUUGGUAAUGUGUAGUAACUGAUAAAAAAACUGCCUGGGUUCAGAUCUCCUCUCUGCCUCUUUGUAGCCGUGUUUAUCUGUUUUCAUCUCCCUGUACCUUAUUUUCCUUAUCUGAACAGUGGGGUAAUAAAAGUAUCGACCUGGUUGGGUUGUUGGGUACAUUGAAUAAAUUAAUAUACAUAAAAGAGUUUGGAAUGAUGCAUGACUCGUAGUAAGUGCUUUAUAAAUGUUUGUCUUCCCAUGAUUAUCUGGGGGAUUUGAUUAUUUCUUAAAAUAUACACUCUAGAUAACUGGAAUUUAUUCAGUCAGUUUCAAAAUGCUAAUAGCCAAUUUUGAUGGGUUUUUCUAAAUGGGUCCUUGAUGUCUGUGUAUUCUGUCGUAAGAUUAAAUGGAAUCUUUCCUCUGGCAAUUCAGAAUCAUCAUUAUGACCAUCAAAAAAUGGAAGUUUGCUCUAAGUAAGUGAUACUGAGUCAGGUGACAUAGAAAUGAUGAAGAUGACCGUAACAAGUUUAGGAAAAGUGUUUUACCCCUAAACUAGCUGGUCCAGGCUGCCCUGUUGUUUUUGUCUUCUGUCUGUUCUCAAGGCUUUUGGCCUUUCCUCUCUUAGCUUCUGUUAACACUCCUGCUUUGAAAUUCCUGUUUCUCUUUUGCUGUAGAUUAUAAGCAUUUAUUUUUGAGAGAGACACAGAAUGCAGGAGGGAGAGGGGCAGAGAGGGAGGGAGACACAAAAUCUAAAACAGGAUCCAGGCUCUGAGCUCUCAGCAGAGAGCCCCACACAGAGCUCAAACUUAGGUACUGCAAGAUCAUGACCUGAGCUGAAGGAUGUUUAACUGACUGAGUCACCCAGGGGCCUCGAAAAUAGUACAGUUUUUGAGAAAAAAUGUAUAUAAAAUGAGAAAACGAGCAUUUGCUCAGGGUGUUAAUUCUCCCCCUGAGAGUAAUAAGAACAUAAGUGCAUUUUUUCCUUUUGGGAGAGGGUUAUGUUUUAAGCAGAAAUUCUUAAAGUAUUUCCUGUGGGCCAAAUCUGAUUUUGUAAAUAAAGUUUUAUUGCAACACACCCUCAUUAGUUUAUAUAUUGUUGCCUGCUGCUUUUGCACCACAAGUGCAGAGUUGGGUAGUUGCUGCAGAGACAGUAUGGCUUGCAAAGACUGAACUAUUUACUAUAUGGCCCUUUAUAGAAAAAAGGUUGCUAAACCCUGUUUGGGAGCCUUACAGUUUUGGGCAGGGUCUAAAUAAAUGAGAUGUUACUGUGUUUAGUAGUCUUUGCUAAUUUGCAUAUUCAAUUACCUAUAGCACUGCCUCUCCUAAAUAUAUUGUGGAUAAACAAGAAUAAUUGCACUAGCCUCUGUUGAAUAAAGGAUAAACAGCCCACAAUAGCACAUUGAGAAAAUUAACAGGAGGUGAUAAUGUCAUUGACAAGCAAAGUGGGAUGGGAAUCCUCACUUUGGUCUUUGUUGCUCUACUGUUACCAGUACAUAACAUAAUGUGAAAUUACAAAACCUUCUCUUGUGUUGUAUAGAAUAUUCUAGAAAUGUUUCUAGUUAGUAGCUGCUUUUGUUACACAAUUGUCCAGUGAAAAUGUAAAUGCCUCUCUUGUCUCUUCUCCCACCUUUACUUAACUGUUCUUUAUCUUUCAUCUUACAUUUAUCUCUGGUCUUUAUCUUUUCCGUAAAAAAAAAAAAAAGUUUUUGAAGUUUCCUACAUUGUAUUAUUCUGGAUUAUCCUGCAUGGGAAAGGACUCUGAACCUGACUUUGAAUUCUAAUUUAGUCACUUUAUAGAAGAGAAACCUCAGGAAGUCACAUUGCCACCUCCAAUUUCAGUUUGCUUGCCUAUAAAAGGGAGGCAAGAAUCCAUGCUUUGCUUACCAAAUGCUCUAAGCUGUUUGGAUAGCCCCAAAAUUCAUGUGUUGAAAUCCUCAUGGCCAGUAUUAGGAGUUGGGGCCUUUUGGCAGUGUUUAAGUCAUUAUGCACAGCCCUAAUGAAUGGAGGUAAUGCUCUGCAUAAAAGAAGCCUCAUAGAGCUCUACAGGCCCUGUUACCAAUUGAGGAUAUAAAGAACAGUCUGCAACCUGGAAGAGGCCCCUCAACUGGCCAUUCUGGCACCCUGAUCUUAGACUUCCACCUCCAGAACUAAUCCAGUUGGCUUUUGAGUGGAUAAUUGUUGCAGUGAGCUCAGUGACAUUGGAAGCGACUCUUGUCCAUUUGAAUUACUUAAAACACCACCAUGAAAAGAAAUACCUGUGAUCUGCUUUCUCGGAGCAAAAGUGCUUCUGAGGAAACACUGCAUUCCAGUAAUGAAGAGGAAGACCCUUUCCGAGCAAUGGAACCCUAUCUUGUACGGAGACUUUCUUGCCGUAAUGUUCAGCUUCCCCCUCUUGCCUUCAGACAGUUGGAACAAGCCGACUUGAAAAGUGAAUCAGAAAACAUUCCCAGACCGACCAGCCUCCCUCUGAAGAUUCUACCACUGAUUGCUAUCACUUCUGCAGACUCCAGUGGGUGAGUGCCUCUGGGCAACAUUUUCCCGUUUUAUAUUUUGGAUGGUGAUUGUUAUCUUUGGUCUUUUGAGAUUUUGUGGCUCAUUGCCUGAUUUGAUUGGGAGGAAAAUGUCUCUACCUCUACAGGAGAAGCUGUUUUAGUCAAAUGGUUUUACACAGAGGAGUUGAACAGGUAUUGGUGAAUGAGAAUAAACAUCUAAGAAAGGAGACUUGGACUUGGAAAAUUAAUAUUGGUCAUAUGUGAUUUAAUAAUAAAAAUUCUUCACACAUGAGAACUAAUUAACACAUUAAUACAUAGGCAUACAUAUCUGGAAACAGUAGGCCAUGUUCACUGGUACAAAAUGAAUUUUGAAUUAAGAAUAGAUUGUCAUGUAAUAAGAAUCCAAGGAAAUAAGCAAUUAUAUUCAGGAGGCUAGUAAUUUGGCCUUUGACACAUGAAGGUGUUGCUUACCAGAAUACUGUUUCAGUUCCCAAAAGGAGGUGGUUUUAUAUAGUGCUAGUUAUGGAAGAGUCACACACAGUCACUGUCUCCAUCAUUCAAUAACUUUUGUAUUGCUGACUUUGUAGAAUAGUUGUGUUUUUGUUCUUUCUCUGCUCUUUAGCAAUGGAGGUUUUACUCUUUAAGAGCAAUGUUGCCAGGUAAACAUUGAGAAAGAAAGUGUGGAUAAUGGGCACAUCCAUUCUUUGCUGUUUUGGUCAGCUGCAUUUCUAAGAAGAUUGAAUAGGAAAGAGAGGAAGAAUCCAGUGGCCCAUAUUUGGAAAGACUCUAGAGCAUUCGCUAAGAUUAUGAGAACAAAGCAAUUUGUUAGGUGACAAAUGUGAUUCUUCCCCAUUCUCCGCCAAAUUGAAGGCACGUCUAGGAAAGGUGCUUCUGGAUUUUCCUAGAAGUUGUUAGAAAAGUUGUAAUUAGAAGAAAUUUUGCUAGUAACUGCCCUCAGUGAUACUGAGUUUAGUUUGAAUUGUUACAGAUCAGUUCAAAGGACUUGUGUUAUUAAAAGGUAUGAAGAAAUUACUACUAGGUAAGUGAGAAUAUACCAAAUUCUUAAAGAAAUGGAAAGUGGAAAUAUGUGUCUAGUUGUCUUUGGUUUUUGUUUUUGAUGAACCAUGUAUGUAAGGAAGAUUGUACACUUAUUGAUCAAACACACUGAAGCAGUUGGGAAUUUUAUAUGGCAGCUUGACCUGAACAUUGAAAAAUACUGUCUCAAAAAACUGAUUUCCCCUCUCUUUGGGAUCAAAGAUGAACUACUACUGUUCAUCUGUGUAUAGGGCAGGAUUCCCAGAUAUCAGGGAUUGAGUCAGGGGUCACCAAGACUUCCCCUAGAUUCCAUGAUUUGCUAGAUGAGCUCGCAGGACUCAGCCAAUAGUCCUAUUCAUGGCUGAGAUUUAUUACAGCCAAAGAACACAAAGCAAAAUCAGCAAAGAGAAAGGCACAUGGGGCAAAAUCUGGAGGAAAGCAGCCGGAAGCUUCCUAGAGUCUCCAAUUACAGUAGAGUCAGACAGGAUGCCCUUAAUUCCUCUAGAAGUGAGCUGUGACAACACCUGUGAAAUGUGUCACCGGAAAAGUCUUAUACCAGAAAAACCUCUGAAAGACUUGGUGCUUGUAUGAGGAAUGUGAAACGGUGCAACUCACAGAAAGAUAAGGGGGUUGCCAGGGGCUAAGGGUAGGGAAAUGGGAAAUUGCUAUUCAAUGGGUAUAUCAUUUCAAUUAUGCGAAAUGAAUCAGCUCUAGAGAUCUGUAUCAUUAUGCCUAUAAUGAACAACAUUGUGUUGUGCGCUUAAAUAUUGGUCAGGGGAGAUCUCAUGCUAAAUGUUCUUACCACAAUUAAAAAAAAAGCAAGAUAAAAACCCAGGAAAUAAAAAAUAGACUCAGUGACCAGAAUUUUUACUGGGGGCUGGUCACUUAGGCACCCUCUAUCCAGCCUAUGCCUAAAUUUCAGAUUCCCAGAAGGAAAGCAGUUGUUCAGCACAAACCACUUUUUUUUUCUCUUUUAGAACCAGGUUAGGCACAGUGAAUGUCUCUUACCAUUUAGGGAAUGGUGGACAGUCUCCUGAAAUCCCAGUUUCUAGAUACCAGCCAAGGGCAAACUUUCAAACAGGCUUUUCUGAAGAUAAUGUCACAGGCCUGACGUUAACUCUUUUCUGCACAGCAGGUUUAUCUUAGAAUCAUUAUCUUGUUUUGUCUACAUUUGAGUAAGAAGAGAAUAUAGUUAAAAUUUAAAUAAAUUUCAGCUGUGAUGCAUUCAUUUAACUUUGGUAUGUAAAAGAAUUUGAUGGCUAACCAUGAUUUCUCAUUCAAACCUCAUGUUAUAUCAUCUGCUAUUAAAAGAAAAUAAUGCAUUAGAUCUAAUAUAUCUCUAUAUAGUUGGCCAUGUAUAUAAUUAAAAUUCUUAGGUAAAAACCUAACUCAAUUAAUUACAUUUAAAUGUGUUGCUAAAAACAAAUAGUCUCUAAGUGCCAAAUAGAGAAUUGUCAGUAUGGUUAUACUUACGUUGGUUCAAAGUUUGUUUCCUUCUUAUAUAAGAAUCUAAGAAACAAGUGUAAGUGAAAUUGUGCUUACCAUUUGCAAACUUAUUCAGUAUUUUGGAGGAAAGAGUUUGUCUUUUAGAAAGGUGAAACCAGGGUAAUUUGUACAUGAAGGCAGCCAGGAGAAACCAUGGACAAGCGUGACUAACAAGAAACAAAGACUAAGAAUGUAUGAAAGGGACUAUUAUUACAUUCUGAGGCAAAAAUUAUUUGUGAAUUGAGUAUUUGAGAACUAUAAAAAUCAGGUGUAUAAUUUUCUGGAAUAUCUAAGCUUUGGAAGGGAAGCAGAAGGUAAAGUUAGGGCUCACAUCCUGUAGCCACUUCAGUUAACCAAACCCCCAGAUUCCUUCAGAGAAAAGGCUAAUGGGGAAUUGAGACUAUUUUAGCCAAGUUGUCUCAGUUCCUUGUUGUUGAAGGUAAGCCUGCCACCAGGUCUCUUUGUCAACCUACACUGAGACACUGGUAAUUGUAAAUCUUUGAUGGGAAAGGAGGCUUUUCAUGUCCUUUGGAUUUAUUUUCCUUAAUUUCUUAACAUCAUAACUUUUUGUUCUUUCUUCCUGUGUAUCAGCACACCAGAGACUUGCUCUGUGAGGUAUCACACAGUGGGUCUAGAGGCUUAUGCGACCCCUUUAGAAAGACACAGUGUGGCCCCAAGAGUAACUAUUUUUUGAAGGGAACUUUGGCCUGCAGCUAUUACCUUCCUAAUGAAGUGCCUGGGUCAAGAUACUGAAAUUGAGAGAGCCUUUUAGAAUGAACAGUUCCACAGUUCUACUUUGGGUUGUUUUGACCAGGUGCUUUAAAUGUGUUCAAAUAUAUGCCGUUUAACAACUCUCUAUAAAUAAGCCUAACGUGUCUGAGCUUUUGUGUAUUGUGAUUAAGCAACCUUUACAAACUUUCAAGGAUGACAAAACAGAAUUGUAAGAUCUGAGAUGUUGAAAACCUUCAAUGUAUCCAUCAGUUAGCUUUCCAUAUGGGAUAGGGUCACUCUGACUUCAGAGCUGUGUAUUGACUCUCACAGAAGAAGGACAUCUGUUAAUGGUUUGAAAUGCUAUGAACUACAGAAUGGGAAAAGAUAUUUGCAAAUGAUAUAUCAGACAAAGAGCUAGUAUCCACAAUCUAUAAAGAACUCACCAAACUCCACACCUGAAAAGCAAAUAAUCCAGUGAAGAAAUGGGCAGAAAACAUGAAUAGACACUUCUCUAAAGAAGACAUCCAGAUGGCCAACAAGCACAUGAAAAGAUGCUCAACAUCACUCCUCAUCAGGGAAAUACAAAUCAAAACCACACUUAGAUACCAUCUCACACCAGUCAGAGUGGCUAAAAUGAACAAAUCAGGAGACUAUAGAUGUUGGAGAGGAUGUGGAGAAACGGGAACCCUCUUGCACUGUUGGUGGGAAUGCACACUGGUGCAGCCACUCUGGAAAACAGUGUGGAGGUUCCUCAAAAAAUUAAAACUAGAUCUACCCUAUGACCCAGCAAUAGCAUUGCUAGGAAUUUACCCAAGGGACACAGGAGUGCUGGUGCAUAGGGGCACUUGUACCCCAAUGUUUACAGCAGCACUUUCAGCAAGAGCCAAAUUAUGGAAAGAGCUUGAAUGUCCACCAACUGAUGAAUGGAUAAAGAAAUUGUGGUUUGUAUACACAAUGGAAUACUACUUGGCAAUGAGAAAGAAUGAAAUAUGGCCUUUUGUAGCAAUGUGGAUGGAACUGGAGAGUGUUAUGCUAAGUGAAAUAAGUCAUGUGAGAAAGAUACCAUAUGUUUUUACUCUUUUGUGGAUACUGAGAAACUUAACAAUAGACCAUGGGGGAGGGGAAGGAAAAAAAGAAGUUAGAGAGGGAGAGAGCCAAACCAUAGGAGACUCUUAAAAACUGAGAAUAAACUGAGGGUUGAUGGGGGGUGGGAAGGAGGGGAAGGUGGGUGAUGGGCAUUGAUGGGCUUUGAGGAGGGGGCAUCUGUUGGGAUGAGCACUGAGUGUUGUAUGGAAACCAAUUUGGCAAUAAAUUUCAUAUUAAAAAAAAGAAAUGCUAUGAACUUGGCAAAGAAAUAAUUUGGAAUGUCAUCGAUUUUCAUAUUUCUCUCAAGUGUUUUUUCUCCAUUUACAUUUUUUAAUGUUUAUAUUUUAUUUUUGAAAGAGAGAGAGAGACAGAGAGAGCAUGAAUGGGGGAGGGGCAAAUAAAGAGGAGGACAGGAUCUGAAGCAGGCUCUGUACUGGCAGCAGCAAGCCCAAUGUGGGGCUUGAAUUCACGAACUGUGUGAUCAUGACCUAAGCUGAAAUUGGACACUCGACUGACUGAGCCACCCAGGUUCCCUCUCCAUCUAAGCUGUCAGCCCAGAGUUUGAUGCAGGGCUAAAAUUCAUGAACCAUGAGAUCAUGACCUGAGCUGAAGUCAGACACUCAGCCAACUGAGCCACCCAGAUGCGCCAUAAAAUUUUUUUUUUAUUAAGAGAUAGUUUCCAUGAAGUAGAAUAGGCAACUCUUAAGUAUAUAUCUCGAUAAAAUUUUAUGUAUUUAUACACCCAUGUAAUCACCAUGUAGUUUGCUAACUCCUAUCACUGAAAAUUAGUUUGGCCCUUCUUGGACAUCAAAUAAAUGGGAUUGUAUUGUAAGCACUCUUUGUGUUUGUCUGCUAUCACUUAAAAUGCUUUUUGAUAUUUAUCCAUGUUGGUGUAUGUAUCAAUAGUUUGCUCUUUUUUAUUGUAGUGCAGUAUUCCACUGUGUGAGCAUACCAUAAUUUAUUUAUCUACACUCUCUUAUUGAUGGACAUUUGAGAUAUUUCUUGUAUGGGGAGCAUGUAUUAUGAGUAAAAUUGCUGUGUACUUUUGCAUACAAGUCUUUUGGUGGACAUACUCAAUUAUUUCUCUUGGUUAUAUUCCUGGGGCGUAAUGUCGGAGUCAUAGGUAAGCAUAUGUUUAUUUUAGUUACUGCCUAACAAUUUUCCAAGUGAUAUACUAUUUUACUCUCCCACUGGCAAUGUGUGGUAGUUCCAUUUGCUCUGCAUCCUCAACCUCACUUGGUGUUCUUAAUGUUUCAUUUUAUCAGUUCUGGUGAAUGUGUAGUGAGCAGUAUCUUACUAUGCUUUAUAUUAUCUUACAGUAUCUUACUAUGCUUUAUAUAUCUGAUGACAGGUAGUAUUGUUUAGCUACUAAUAUGUUU